This is a long non-coding RNA of Telopea speciosissima, 361 nucleotides long. RefSeq lists it as uncharacterized. NCBI's taxonomy places the organism in Eukaryota, Viridiplantae, Streptophyta, Magnoliopsida, Proteales, Proteaceae. The transcript has 3 exons. The record is from RefSeq and is a predicted model, not a curated record.
GAGAAGGCUAACCACCAUAUGAUAAUGACCUAAUUAUAAGUUAAACAAAGACACUGUUUAAAUAAAACACACAUAAUUGGACAUAAGAGCAAUAAAGCCAUAGAAAAUGGCAUAUUAUAUAGGUAUUGUUAUGUGCCAAUGGUUUUUGUUUUUCUCCAACACUACUGCUCUUAUUGUAUUAAUUUUUAUGUGGACCUUUAACUCAUGCGUUUGGAAUACUGAUUUGGUGGGCCAAAUCUUACAUAGGGCAUAACAAAAAAGCUUGCAUGGAUGAAUGCAAUAGAAGAUCUUUAUUCUUCUGACUCUGAUUCAAAAGCUAAGAAGACUUGUAAUAAUUUAGGGUAAAGAAAAGUAAAAAUAU